GGGUGCUUGAGGCUUUCUGCCUUAAGCAUUAGCCGAUGGCAGAAAGAGAAAAGCCCCGGAAACAUUAUGCGUCUUGCUGGACGCUUAACAUUAACCGAGGCCACUUCUAAUGCUGAACACAUUCAGAAUAGCCUCUUACUGGCCUCCGGGUCAAGGAGAAGCAGGCUAUG
Molecule: antisense RNA, 170 nt
Filed under: Erwinia tracheiphila
Lineage: Bacteria; Pseudomonadati; Pseudomonadota; Gammaproteobacteria; Enterobacterales; Erwiniaceae
Description: sok antitoxin (CssrC)
Rfam family: sok antitoxin (CssrC)
About the family: Also identified in Shigella as CssrC.
Source: Rfam by way of RNAcentral